AACGAACGCUGGCGGCAUGCCUAACACAUGCAAGUCGAACGAGACCUUCGGGUCUAGUGGCGCACGGGUGCGUAACGCGUGGGAACCUGCCCUUAGGUUCGGAAUAACUCCCCGAAAGGGGUGCUAAUACCGGAUAAUGUCUUCGGACCAAAGAUUUAUCGCCCUUGGAUGGGCCCGCGUUGGUUUAGCCAGUUGGUAGGGUAAAAGCCUACCAAGGCGACGAUCCAUAGCUGGUCUGAGAGGAAGAUCAGCCACACUGGGACUGAGACACGGCCCAGACUCCUACGGGAGGCAGCAGUGGGGAAUAUUGGACAAUGGGGGAAAGCCUGAUCCAGCAAUGCCGCGUGAGUGAUGAAGGCCUUAGGGUUGUAAAGCUCUUUUACCCGGGAUGAUAAUGACAGUACCGGGAGAAUAAGCUCCGGCUAACUCCGUG
This 433-nucleotide ribosomal RNA is filed under the name uncultured bacterium. RNAcentral describes it as "partial 16S ribosomal RNA". It matches the Rfam family "Bacterial small subunit ribosomal RNA", at positions 29 to 507 of the family's 1533-position model. The record is from RNAcentral.